AAGGGUAAAUUUUGGGGUAUUACAGAUUCCAAUACACUUUCACCUUUCAAUUUCAAACAAUACUUCUUCAAUCACUUAUCACCAAAUAUCCAAUUAUGUGACUUCGGUCACUUCACUCCGUUCAUUUCGUGAUACACUCAUAGUCUACCUUCCUUCACUCCAUGUGAUAUACCAGUUAUCUUUGAGCCAAGUACAUUAUACUUUUGUGCUCCAUCUUGUACCUCUUUGUGAACCAAUAGUUGUUUGGCUCUCAU
This 254-nucleotide long non-coding RNA is filed under the name Lathyrus oleraceus (garden pea). RNAcentral describes it as "Pisum sativum (pea) long non-coding RNA (PSAT_LNC010171)". The record is from RNAcentral. Lineage: Eukaryota; Viridiplantae; Streptophyta; Magnoliopsida; Fabales; Fabaceae.